Molecule: ribosomal RNA, 253 nt
Filed under: uncultured bacterium
Lineage: Bacteria
Description: partial 16S ribosomal RNA
Rfam family: Bacterial small subunit ribosomal RNA
Source: RNAcentral
GACAGAGGGGGCGAGCGUUGUCCGGAGUCACUGGGCGUAAAGCGCGCGCAGGCGGUGACCUAAGUGUCGUGUGAAAGCCCCCGGCUCAACCGGGGGAGGCCAUGGCAAACUGGGUCGCUCGAGCUGCGGAGAGGCCCCUCGAAUUGCCGGUGUAGCGGUGAAAUGCGUAGAGAUCGGCAGGAAGACCAAGGGGGAAGCCAGGGGGCUGGCCGCAGGCUGACGCUGAGGCGCGACAGCGUGGGGAGCAAACCGG